Molecule: ribosomal RNA, 486 nt
Filed under: uncultured bacterium
Lineage: Bacteria
Description: partial 16S ribosomal RNA
Rfam family: Bacterial small subunit ribosomal RNA
Source: RNAcentral
ACUCAAAUGAAUUGACGGGGACCCGCACAAGCAGCGGAGCGUGUGGUUUAAUUCGAUGCUACACGAAGAACCUUACCCAGGUUUGACAUACAGGUAGUAGUGAAGCGAAAGCGGAACGAUCCUUCGGGAAGCCUGAACAGGUGCUGCAUGGCUGUCGUCAGCUCGUGCCGUGAGGUGUUUGGUUAAGUCCACUAACGAGCGCAACCCCUGUCGUCAGUUAUAUGUGUCUGACGAGACUGCCGGUCUUAAACCGGAGGAAGAUGGGGAUGACGUCAAGUCAGCAUGGCCUUUAUAUCUGGGGCUACACACACGCUACAAUGGCCGGUACAAUAGGUUGCCAACCCGCGAGGGGGAGCUAAUCCUCUAAAACCGGUCUCAGUUCGGAUUGUAGGCUGCAACUCGCCUGCAUGAAGCCGGAGUUGCUAGUAAACGUGCGUCAGCUAUAGCGCGUUGAAUGCGUUCCCGGGUCUUGCACACACCGCCCGU